RNAcentral lists this ribosomal RNA (870 nucleotides) under uncultured Limnohabitans sp. Its description in RNAcentral is "bacterial SSU rRNA". It matches the Rfam family "Bacterial small subunit ribosomal RNA", at positions 8 to 878 of the family's 1533-position model. Lineage: Bacteria; Pseudomonadati; Pseudomonadota; Betaproteobacteria; Burkholderiales; Comamonadaceae. The record is from RNAcentral.
AGAGUUUGAUCCUGGCUCAGAUUGAACGCUGGCGGCAUGCCUUACACAUGCAAGUCGAACGGUAGAGGGGGCAACCCCUCGAGAGUGGCGAACGGGUGAGUAAUAUAUCGGAACGUGCCCAGUCGUGGGGGAUAACGUAGCGAAAGUUACGCUAAUACCGCAUACGAUCUACGGAUGAAAGCGGGGGAUCGCAAGACCUCGCGCGAUUGGAGCGGCCGAUAUCAGAUUAGGUAGUUGGUGGGGUAAAGGCUCACCAAGCCAACGAUCUGUAGCUGGUCUGAGAGGACGACCAGCCACACUGGAACUGAGACACGGUCCAGACUCCUACGGGAGGCAGCAGUGGGGAAUUUUGGACAAUGGACGCAAGUCUGAUCCAGCCAUUCCGCGUGCAGGAUGAAGGCCCUCGGGUUGUAAACUGCUUUUGUACGGAACGAAAAGGUUUCCAUUAAUACUGGGAGCUCAUGACGGUACCGUAAGAAUAAGCACCGGCUAACUACGUGCCAGCAGCCGCGGUAAUACGUAGGGUGCAAGCGUUAAUCGGAAUUACUGGGCGUAAAGCGUGCGCAGGCGGUUAUGUAAGACAGAGGUGAAAUCCCCGGGCUCAACCUGGGAACUGCCUUUGUGACUGCAUAGCUAGAGUACGGUAGAGGGGGAUGGAAUUCCGCGUGUAGCAGUGAAAUGCGUAGAUAUGCGGAGGAACACCGAUGGCGAAGGCAAUCCCCUGGACCUGUACUGACGCUCAUGCACGAAAGCGUGGGGAGCAAACAGGAUUAGAUACCCUGGUAGUCCACGCCCUAAACGAUGUCAACUGGUUGUUGGGUCUUCACUGACUCAGUAACGAAGCUAACGCGUGAAGUUGACCGCCUGGGG